Molecule: ribosomal RNA, 497 nt
Filed under: uncultured bacterium
Lineage: Bacteria
Description: partial 16S ribosomal RNA
Rfam family: Bacterial small subunit ribosomal RNA
Source: RNAcentral
GAUGAACGCUGGCUGCGUGCCUAAUACAUGCAAGUCGAGCGAACGGACUAGAAGCUUGCUUCUCUGAUGUUAUCGGCGGACGGGUGAGUAACUCGUGGAUAACCUACCUAUAAGACUGGGAUAACUUCGGGAACCCGGAGCUAAUACCUGAUAAUAUUUUGAACCUCAUGGUUCAAAAGUGAAAGACGGUCUUGCUGUCACUUAUAGAUGGAUCCGCGCUGCAUUAGCUAGUUGGUAAGGUAACGGCUUACCAAGGCAACGAUGCAUAGCCGACCUGAGAGGGGGAUCGGCCACACUGGAACUGAGACAAGGUCCAGACUCAAACGGGAGGCAGCAGUAGGGAAAGGUACGCAAUGGGCGAAAGCCUGACGGAGCAAAGCCGAGUGAGGGAUGAAGGGCUGCGGAUAGGAAAACUAUGUUAUUAGGGAAGAACAUAUGUGUAAGUAACUGUGAACAUAUUGAAGGUACCUAAUCAGAAAGCCACGGCUAACUACGUG